AAUAUUGGACAAUGGGGGCAACCCUGAUCCAGCCAUGCCGCGUUUGUGAUGAAGGUCUUCGGAUUGUAAAGCACUUUAAGUUGGGAGGAAGGGCUUUAGGCUAAUACCCUGAAGUUUUGACGUUACCAACAGAAUAAGCACUGGCUAACUAUGUGCCAGCAGCCGCGGUAAUACAGAGGGUGCAAUCGUUAAUCGGAAUUACUGGGCGUAAAGUGCGCGUAGGUGGUACAGUAAGAUUGGUGUGAAAUCCCCGGUCUUAACCUGGGAACUGCUUUCAUAACUGCUGAGCUAGAGUACGGUAGAGGGUAGUGGAAUUUCCUGUGUAGCGGUGAAAUGCGUAGAUAUAGGAAGGAACACCAGUGGCGAAGGCGACUACCUGGACUGAUACUGACACUGAGGUGCGAAAGCGUGGGGAGCAAAC
This 421-nucleotide ribosomal RNA is filed under the name uncultured bacterium. Its description in RNAcentral is "partial 16S ribosomal RNA". It matches the Rfam family "Bacterial small subunit ribosomal RNA", at positions 360 to 773 of the family's 1533-position model. The record is from RNAcentral.